AGUGCCAGUAGCUAUCUGACCGCAGUCAGAGGAGCAGUCUGUAGGAUUCAUACUCCAUUUCUUUCCAGCAGGCGAUGAGCUUGCAGGGCUGCGCCGGGACAAAGAGGAAUGAUAAGCCUCGCCCCUGGAAGAACUGCUGAGCUCGCUGCCUGGAAGACACCACGCGCCUCCAGGCCUGCCGCACACCGCUGAGCUGGCGGACAGAGUUUCAGAUAUUUAUUAAUGAUUUCGUGCAUUUAGAGGGGAACUAUUUCCUGGAUAAGUGGAAAAUUGUGCAGGUGGCUUCUGGAAGACCUUCGUUUUAAGCAGCUUCAUAGUGAAACAUUUCGUUGAGAAGUCUGGACCUUCUUCAGGUUGCUGUAAUCUACCUUCACUGAGUAGAACGUGUAUUGCUUAUUGAGACCCAGUUUGGUCCAGG
This 418-nucleotide long non-coding RNA is filed under the name Ursus maritimus (polar bear). RNAcentral's name for it is "lncRNA (ENSUMAG00000021735.1)". Lineage: Eukaryota; Metazoa; Chordata; Mammalia; Carnivora; Ursidae. The record is from RNAcentral.